This 253-nucleotide ribosomal RNA is filed under the name uncultured bacterium. Its description in RNAcentral is "partial 16S ribosomal RNA". It matches the Rfam family "Bacterial small subunit ribosomal RNA", at positions 524 to 776 of the family's 1533-position model. The record is from RNAcentral.
UACGAAGGGGGCUAGCGUUGCUCGGAAUCACUGGGCGUAAAGGGUGCGUAGGCGGGUUAUUAAGUCAGAGGUGAAAUCCUGGAGCUCAACUCCAGAACUGCCUUUGAUACUGAUAGUCUUGAGUAUGGGAGAGGUGAGUGGAACUGCGAGUGUAGAGGUGAAAUUCGUAGAUAUUCGCAAGAACACCAGUGGCGAAGGCGGCUCACUGGCCCAUUACUGACGCUGAGGUGCGAAAGCGUGGGGAGCAAACAGG